GAUGAAGAACGCAGCGAAAUGCGAUAAGUAAUGUGAAUUGCAGAAUUCAGUGAAUCAUCGAAUCUUUGAACGCACAUUGCGCCCCUUGGUAUCCCGAGGGGCAUGCCUGUUCGAGCGUCAUUUCACCACUCAAGCCUGGCUUGGUGUUGGGCGACGUCCCCUUUGGGGACGCGCCUCGAAACGCUCGGCGGCGUGGCACCGGCUUUAAGCGUAGCAGAAUCUUUCGCUUUGGAAGUCGGGGCCCCGUCUGCCGGAAGACCUACUCGCAAGGUUGACCUCGGAUCAGGCAGGGAUACCCGCUGAACUUAAGCAUAUCAAUAAGCGGAUGA
This 329-nucleotide unclassified non-coding RNA is filed under the name soil metagenome. RNAcentral's name for it is "partial contains 5.8S ribosomal RNA, internal transcribed spacer 2, and large subunit ribosomal RNA". The stretch from base 1 to 120 matches the Rfam family "5.8S ribosomal RNA", at positions 35 to 154 of the family's 154-position model. The record is from RNAcentral.